CAGUCGCCGCGGUAAUACGAAGGGUGCAAGCGUUACUCGGAAUUACUGGGCGUAAAGCGUGCGUAGGUGGUGGUUUAAGUCCGUUGUGAAAGCCCUGGGCUCAACCUGGGAAUUGCAGUGGAUACUGGGUCACUAGAGUGUGGUAGAGGAUAGUGGAAUUUCCGGUGUAGCAGUGAAAUGCGUAGAGAUCGGAAGGAACAUCUGUGGCGAAGGCGACUAUCUGGGCCAACACUGACACUGAGGCACGAAAGCGUGGGGAGCAAACAGGAUUAGAGACCCCUGUAGUCCCUGUCUCUUAUAC
RNAcentral lists this ribosomal RNA (301 nucleotides) under uncultured bacterium. Its description in RNAcentral is "partial 16S ribosomal RNA". It matches the Rfam family "Bacterial small subunit ribosomal RNA", at positions 509 to 807 of the family's 1533-position model. The record is from RNAcentral.